AACGCACGAGACCUGCGGACCUGCGGAAGGAUCGUUAAUGAGAAGCUGCCCCUCGUGGGUAGACCUCCCACCCUCUGUGAACUUACCUUUGUUGCUUUGGCAGGCCCGUCCUCUGGACCGCCGGCUUCGGCUGGCCCGUGCCUGCCAGAGGAUUCCAAACCCUGUCUGUCAGUGUUGUCUGAGUCUAUAUGAAAUCGUUAAAACUUUCAACAACGGAUCUCUAGAUCGGAAGAGCACACG
This 240-nucleotide unclassified non-coding RNA is filed under the name soil metagenome. RNAcentral describes it as "partial contains 5.8S ribosomal RNA, internal transcribed spacer 2, and large subunit ribosomal RNA". The record is from RNAcentral.